GCCCGGAUGGCGGAAUUGGUAGACGCGCUCGUUUCAGGUGCGAGUGUCGCAAGACAUGGAGGUUCGAGUCCUCUUUCGGGCACCA
Molecule: transfer RNA, 85 nt
Filed under: Alphaproteobacteria bacterium
Lineage: Bacteria; Pseudomonadati; Pseudomonadota; Alphaproteobacteria
Description: tRNA-Leu
Rfam family: tRNA
About the family: Transfer RNA (tRNA) molecules are approximately 80 nucleotides in length. Their secondary structure includes four short double-helical elements and three loops (D, anti-codon, and T loops).
Source: RNAcentral